CCAAUAGAGAGCCGCCUGAAGGCUGGUUGGGGUGGUGAGGUCCGAGGCAGCUUCUGGAAUUUCUGAGCAGCCCUGGUCAGUACAAGAUGGACCCAGUAGUCUUGAGUUACAUGGACAGUCUACUGCGGCAAUCAGAUGUCUCACUAUUGGAUCCUCCAAGCUGGCUCAAUGACCAUAUUAUUGGGUUUGCCUUUGAGUACUUUGCCAACAGUCAGUUUCAUGACUGUUCUGACCAUGUCUGCUUCAUCAGCCCUGAAGUCACCCAGUUCAUCAAGUGCACUGGCAACCCAGCAGAGAUCGCCAUGUUCCUUGAACCCUUGGACCUCCCUCACAAGAGAGCUGUAUUUUUAGCCAUCAAUGAUAAUUCCAACCAGGCAGCUGGGGGAACCCAUUGGAGUUUGUUGGUUUAUCUCCAAGAUAAAAAUAGCUUUUUUCAUUAUGAUUCUCAUAGUAGGAGCAACUCAGUCCAUGCAAAGCAGGUAGCAGAGAAACUAGAGGCUUUCUUAGGCAGAAAAGGAGACAAAUUGGCCUUUGUGGAAGAGAAAGCCCCUGCUCAACAAAACAGCUAUGACUGUGGGAUGUACGUGAUAUGUAACACUGAGGCCUUGUGUCAGAACUACUUCAGGCAACAGCCAGAAUCACUAUUGCAGCUACUCACUCCUACGUACAUCACAAAGAAGAGAGGAGAAUGGAAAGAUCUCAUUGCCACACUUGCUAAAAAUUAGCUGUUGAAAUAUAUUUGUGACUUUUGAAGUCUCGCCUCUCCCCAUGUAUUUGGAUGGCUACAACCUCAGUGCCUGAAGGAAGAUGCCUGGUAGAGGAAAGGUCACCUCCAGAGGGCUUCCCACCCCCAACCAGUAUGUAUAUCUGAUCGGGAGAGGGGCCUCACCUGGAGCCUCGGAGUCUCUGGACCCUGCCUAGUUUCUCCGUGCUCUUCAAAGAAGCCGUCUUUCCGUGCAUCUGUUGAAUACUGAGGAGAAACAGGCCCUCAUCAGGAAGGGGGGCUCUCUGGGGACACCUUUCCCAGCCAGCUCCACCAUGUCCAGGGCAGCUGCCUCUGCCCCCUACCCAAGACCGGCCCUGCUAUUCAAGGUAAGGAGCUGGAACCUGGAACCUGCAGAUCCCAGCGCUCCGUCCCUCUGGGCAGUGUCACCAGGCAAAGUCAAAUUCUCUUCUUCAAGAACAGAGUUACUGGGACUUCCCCGGUGAUCCAGUGGAUAGGAAACUGAGACCUGCCAGGGACAGGCUGUACCCAGUGUCACACAGCAAAGAGCCAGGUGAUCUCACCCACCAAAUGAGCCCAACCACAGCCAUGUGGCCUGAUGACCUCUGUCCUCAACCUUACGGUGAGUUUUGGUGCACAUAUGUAUGUCCUGAAUCUUUCAAAGUGACAGGUUGUGCUAGCGAUGUGACCCUUUGACUCCUGAAGUUAAUUUCUGAAUUUAUUUGGGUCCAUCAUAACACAUUUCACAGAGACUUCUCCCCCUUGAUUUUUUAAAUGCUCAUUAUAGAAAAUAUGAGAAAUAUAAAAUAUAUAAAGCAUUAUGAUCAAAAAUCACCCAUAAGAAAAAAAUCCCCCCAAAAUCACCCAAAGAAAACAUUUAUGCAUAAAUAUAUAAUUUACAUAAGUGGGAUUAUAUAUCAUAUAAUUUGUAUGCCCUAUUUUUGCUUAACAUAAUUUCAUGAGAAAUUCCCCAUGUCACUAUUCAUUCCUUGGAUAGAUUCUCAGAAGUGAAAUUUGUGGAUGGAGAAUGAGCAUUUCUCAGGAUCUUUAGACCCACUUCCAAAAUGCUUUCCAGGUGCUAUACCAACGAGCAUGGCCAUCAGCACUAUAUGAGGGUGCCCGUUGCCCUACAUCCAGCCCAUACACUGGGUAUUAUCUUUUUCUCACCUUUGCAAAUUUGAUAGGUGAAAAUAUAUUGUUUUCAUUUCUAUUUCUGCUUAUUGACAGGUUGAACAUUUUUGCCAAAUACAUAUUAACCACUGGGAUUUCAUCUGUGAAUUGUCUAUAAGGAUCUUCAUGUCUUUCUUAUUGAUUUGUAUACCUUCUUUGUUGAGAAGAUUAAUCCUUAGUUUAUCAUUUUUGCAAAUAUUUCCCCCAUUUGCCUUUCCGUUCUGUGGUAUUGUUGCUGUACUUGUGUUUAAUUUUUGUGCGGCUCAUCCCAUCCCUCUCUUUCAUCUCUCUGUUUCUUUCUUGCUUUGAGGAUAAGAGAGGCCCCUGAAGCAGAGUGUGUACAAGUCAAACCACCGAGCCUUAGAGACCUUGAACCCUGCAGCCCAGGAGCCCACGGGGCCACCAGGGAGGAGAUGGGUGUGGGCUCCACUCUAAGGAACACACUCCAGCCCUGGGGACCAAGGAUAAAACAAGACCCCAAGAGGAAGAAGGAGGAACUUGAUCAUGGUUUCAGAGGCAGGGAGCCUGUCACUCAGGCACUGGAAAGUGUGAUACGAGUUGUCAGGGCUGCAGGAGCUCAGAGGACACACAGAGUGAAAGAGUUACAGCAGGACUCCCAGAGAAAAGGAAGCUGAGCCUUACCAGCUGGGUGGGACUAUAAUCCUGCUUGGCUUCCAUCAUCUAACCCUGCGUGAUAAUCACGCCUUUGCAUAGAUUCUAAACCCAACCCAUCCUUAGGUUCAAAUGUGACCUCAGGGAGGGGCGCCUUCCAUCAAUCCUCCCCCAGCCUAGUGAUGAGCCCUACUGCAGGCUCUCAGCCCCAAACCCCAGGCUCCCUCUCAGGCACCUGUGUGUGAGCUCUAACUGCCCACCUCCAGGGGCUCCAGGACGCCUCCUGCAACCUCGCAACCCCUGAGCCUAGGGCACCGCCAGCGUGCAGCAGGCACUCGUGACGUGACAUGUCUGAGGAAGGACUGUGUGGACAGUGUAAGUGAGAUCAAGAACAGAGGUUGGAGGAGAGAUGGGCCAUGAGAAUAACAAAAAAAGGCUGCCACGAUUCUCACAGCAUCUCCAUGAAAAAAAUAACGGUAAGAAAACAGGAGUCCCUUGGGGUAAAUGACUCAAAUAUGUUCAAACUCAAAGCAACCCCUUUUCGUGUGAUGAACAUGAUGGUCACAAGCCAAUCCUUCAUGUCCAUCGAUUAAAAUCAGCCCCUCCGGGCCGUCCUGAUAAUGCUGUUGAUACAGAGACCCUGGCUAUGGCCAAAAUGCACUGCUUUCAAAAUCACCUUCAAGUCAGACUUUCUACUGAUUCGUCUUCUUUCCCAUAGUAUUUGUUUAGAUGAGUAAAAAUAAAGAGAUGGGAGCAAAGUCAGAGGAAAAGCUAGGUCUGGGGUGAUAGUCACCGAGAAUUCACCAACAGAACCAGGCAGGUGGGGUCCACCCAAGGAGCAACAGGGCCCUGACCCAGACGAAGGAGGUGGCAAGAGCAGGGCGCUGGAGAGUGAGGGGCCAGGCUGGGUCCCCGCCCCCUGCCGGCAGUCUCUGUCCACUCCCACAGAGCCUUCCUCAACCUAGUUGCUCUUGCUAUGUGUGUUGUGAACCAUACCCGCUGCCCAUCCAGCCCCAUCACACCUCCAUGUGCAGACUAUGGAGUUAAUAUCAAGGGUCUUCAAAACCAUAUCUAUUUUUUUCAAUCAAAGCCACAAAAAAAUGUCGUUAUUGUCAUGAGGGUGAUGGAGCACGGGAGGCUCAGUAUGCUGGACAUUAAAGGGGGGAGAAAAAGUUUGAAAAUUCCUCAGAUGAGGCCCUUUCAUUCUGCUGAGCCUAGUCCAAAGGCAAGAUGCUGAUCCAGAGGACACAACUUGUGCUUGCCCUACCCUCAGGCCUUGCUGGCCCCAGUGGGAACUCAGGCUAACUGCCCAUUCCUUCAUGCCUUACUGAGCUUAUCACCCCAGGAACCCAGUAUGAGCCUGCCCAGCCCAGGGGGCUGCUGAGAGGGAGGGGAUGGGCAGCUAGCACUGAGAGACGUCGGGAGAGGAGCAAGGCCCAUCAGGAAAGGAGAGACACAGGGAAUUCCCUGGUGGUCCAGUGGUAGGACUCCGCACUUUCACAGCCAAGGGCCCGGGUUCAAUCCCUGGUCGGAGAACUAAGAUCCUGUCAGCCAAGCAGCACAGCCGGAAAAAAAAGAAGGAAAGGGGAGACACAGAGAGGUUAGGAGAGGGAGAGAGAGGCAGUGCAGAGAAGACCCAGAGAGGCUGAGUCUAGCUGCUUCCUAGGGACCUCACAGACGAAGCUUCAUGGGACACUUGACACAUGCACUCCGCUCUGGAUGUCUCCCCCGAGCUCAAAAUAUCCACACCAGGUAGAUACUCCCCCACCUAAAUCCCUAACGCGACACCUCGUCCCUCCAGAGCGGCAGAGCCUGCCAUCUAGACGAAUCCAUCAAAGUGAGCUCAGCAUCACCCCCCCAAAUCUGCUUCCCCUUGAAAGGCCCCGUCCUCCACAGUUACCCAAGCCAGAGUCCUCAACUCACGCUUCUUCUCCACCGCUGCAACCAGUCAACCGCCAAGGCCCCGAGAGCCUGGCACCACCCGACCCACCGUACCAUCUACUGUCUCCACUCCUGCUACAGCAGGCAAGCCUAGGCCACCAUCAUCCUCUUCCUGGAUGCUGGCAACAGCUUCCUAACUACACCUGCCCCCAGCCUUGCCCUUCCACACCUGGCACUCUCCCACAGCCACACUGCCAACAGAGCCACCUGGGGCCCAGAUCUGAGCCUGCCCCCCUCCUGCUGACUUUCCUCCUGUAGUUCCUUCUUGCCUCCUACCUGGCCUUCCUGACCUUCCUGCUUCCUUUCCAGCCUCACCCCUGCAGCUCAGCGGCGGCCCUUCACCCCUGCAUGUUUGCUCUUCCUGGAAUUCCUUGCCAUGCUUAUCUACCUGGGGAAUUCCCUGGUUGUCUUUCAAAGCCCAGAUCAGGCGUCACCUUCUCUGUGAAGCCUUCCCAGCUUUCCCCCAUGCAGAGCUGGUCAUCCCUCCUCUAUGGUCCCUGGUCCCUUCUUUCACGCUGCUGCUCCAGCCCUUACCACCCCAGACUGUGCUUGUCUGUUUAGACAUCUGAGCUCCACCAGGGGGGUGUCUUCUACAUCUCUGUACCAGCAGCACACAGCAGGCGCCCAAUGUUUGCUAAAUGAAUGCGUGAAGGAGAGACAGAGAAAGGGACACGAUGACACUUCAAGAGGGAGGAGGGGAGAAAAAAAGCCGGGUAGUAGGGACUUCCCUGGUGGCUCAGGGUUAAGAAUCCGCCUGCCAGUGCAGGGGACACAGGUUCAAGCCCUGGUCCAGGAAGAUCCCACAUGCCGCAGAGGAACUAAGCUCAUGCGCCACAACUACCCAGCCUGCGCUCUAGAGCCCUCGAUCCACAACUACUGAGCCCACGUGCCACAACUACUGAAGCCUGUGCGACUAGAGCCCGUGCUCGGCAACAAGAGAAGCCACCGCAAUGAGAAGCCCGUGCACCGCAACGAAGAGUAGCCCCCGCUCGCCGCAACUAGAGAAAGCCCGUGCGCAGCAACGAAGAUCCAAUGCAGCCAAAAAUAAAUAAAUAAAUAAAAAUUUUAAAAGCCAGGCAGUAAGAGUGAAGGAGGCACAGAGAAUGAUGGAUGCCCAGCAGUAAGGGGAGGGGUGGUGGACAGGAGUGGAGGGGGGUCACCCACAGAUGGGCCCUCCCCUCCGGGAGCCCCGGCCUGUGGAGCAGGCAGACAGCCCGGCCCGGCAGCGCCAGGCACUCAAUCCACGCCGGCUGACUGAUCAAAGAGGAGCCUGGGUGGGAGACAGAGGACAUACGGAAAAGGGUGAAGUGGCUCGGAAGGGAUGGGAGGGGGUGUUUGGGGAAAAGCACAGGCUGGGCCCCUCCCAGCCCCACAGCAGUGCUCACUGGCUGCACCCCGCUGGGCUGUCGCAGCUCCACCCGCUCCCCAGCCCCUCCACCAGAACCCUCCCUAACCACAGGGCAACCCCUCCCCUCGCUCCUCAAGCCUCGGGCAGCAGCAGUGCCCGUGGCUGGGGCUGAAGCAGAAAACUCGGCCAGGCCUGGCAGCCGGAGCCAGCUGGGCCUUUGUGGUCACUGGAGGGUCCCCUCAGGUGUCUCCUCCCCCAGCGGGAUGUCCACACUCUCCCAAGUUGUCUUCUAGUGGACACCUGAGAUGCUAGAGUGUCCUGUGGGUCCUGUCAGCUCUUCUCAAGGCCAGGGCCAGCUCCCCCCACUCCUGCAGGGCGUGGGUCCCAAUCAGCUCCAAGGAGAGACCUUUUCCAAACAGAAAACACAUCUUAGGGAAUUCCCUGGCGGUCCAGUGGUUAGGACUCCGUGCUGGCACUGCCCAGGCGGGGUUCAAUCCCUGCUUGGGGAACUAAGAUCCCGCAAGCCACGUGGAGCGGCCAAAAAAAAGAAAGAAAACCCAUCUUAGCAGCAGGCCCCUGAGAGUGCAAAGCCAGAGACGGCGAAUAGAGCCAUCUAGGGACAGGGAGCUGAGGGCGCGUGUCCUGGAAGGAACGUCCACCACUGGGGCUCAGCAGCCUAGACCUUGGGGCGCCUCCAGAUUCCCCCAGGCUCCCUCACCCCACCCCACCUCUACAUCUCAGCACACAGCUCACCACCUACUUCACAGAGAAAAAAGACCAUCCUGUUAACUCGGAAGGGUAGCCUGCCGGGUACACACUAGAAUCACCUGUAGAGCUUUUCAAAAAACCAAAGAAAAAUGAUCCCUGAGCUCUGUUCUCAAACCAGUUAAAUCAGAACCUCUGGGGGUGGCAUUUAGGUAACUAUAUAUUUUUAACUUGUUACUGAUGUGUAAUUUACAUAUUGAAAAGUGCACACAAAGUAAGUGAACCGUGCAACGCAUUUCACAAACGGUGCAUACCGGAGAAGCUGCCCUCCAGAAGCCCCUCCCACGCCUUCUAGUCUCACUGCCCACUCCCAACCCCCCACCCCCGGUCAAAGAGAACCACCUACGCGACUUGCAACAACACAGAUUGUCUUUGGCUCUUCGGGGACUUUCUGUGGAUGGAAUCACGUGGUACGUGUUCUUUUACUCGGCAACACACUGGUGAGAUUCAUCCACACUGCUGUGUGGCUGCAAACUCUGCAUUUUCCCUAAUGUUUAGAGUUCCAUUAUAUGGACAUGUUGCAACUGAUUUAUUAAUCUUACCGUUGAGGGGCAUUUUACUAUUGAGUUUCCAGUUUUUGCCUGUUACAAAACCGUUGCUAUAAACAUUUCAGCACCUUGUGUCUUGCGCACACAAAUAUU
Molecule: RNA transcript, 7201 nt
Organism: Globicephala melas (long-finned pilot whale)
Lineage: Eukaryota; Metazoa; Chordata; Mammalia; Artiodactyla; Delphinidae
Gene: SENP8
Gene name: SUMO peptidase family member, NEDD8 specific
Source: RefSeq, a predicted model, not a curated record